UUGGCAGUGAGGAUCCUAGUCCCAAAUGAUCGAUCAUGAUUAUAAUGUGCAAAUUGAAAGCCUAAUUUGAGGAUUCAAGUGUUGAAUCUUAUCUUU
This is a small nucleolar RNA of Lolium perenne, 96 nucleotides long. RefSeq annotates it as small nucleolar RNA Z103. Lineage: Eukaryota; Viridiplantae; Streptophyta; Magnoliopsida; Poales; Poaceae. The record is from RefSeq and is a predicted model, not a curated record.